CUACGGGUGGCACCAGUGGGGAAUAUUGCACAAUGGGGGAAACCCUGAUGCAGCGACGCCGCGUGAGCGAAGAAGUAUUUCGGUAUGUAAAGCUCUAUCAGCAGGGAAGAAAAUGACGGUACCUGACUAAGAAGCUCCGGCUAAAUACGUGCCAGCAGCCGCGGUAAUACGUAUGGAGCAAGCGUUAUCCGGAUUUACUGGGUGUAAAGGGUGCGUAGGCGGCAGGGCAAGUCAGAUGUGAAAGCCCGGGGCUCAACCCCGGGACUGCAUUUGAAACUGCUUUGCUGGAGUGCAGGAGAGGUAAGCGGAAUUCCUAGUGUAGCGGUGAAAUGCGUAGAUAUUAGGAGGAACACCAGUGGCGAAGGCGGCUUACUGGACUGUCACUGACGCUGAGGCACGAAAGCGUGGGGAGCAAACAGGAUUAGAUACCCUGGUAGUC
Molecule: ribosomal RNA, 439 nt
Filed under: uncultured bacterium
Lineage: Bacteria
Description: partial 16S ribosomal RNA
Rfam family: Bacterial small subunit ribosomal RNA
Source: RNAcentral